UACGUAGGGUGCAAGCGUUGUCCGGAAUUAUUGGGCGUAAAGAGCUCGUAGGCGGUUUGUCGCGUCUGCUGUGAAAAUCCGAGGCUCAACCUCGGACCUGCAGUGGGUACGGGCAAACUAGAGUGCGGUAGGGGAGAUUGGAAUUCCUGGUGUAGCGGUGGAAUGCGCAGAUAUCAGGAGGAACACCAAUGGCGAAGGCAGAUCUCUGGGCCGUAACUGACGCUGAGGAGCGAAAGCGUGGGGAGCGAACAGGAUUAGAUACCCUGGUAGUCCACGCCGUAAACGGUGGGAACUAGAUGUGGGGUCCGUUCCACGGAUUCCGUGUCGCAGCUAACGCAUUAAGUUCCCCGCCUGGGGAGUACGGCCGCAAGGCUAAAACUCAAAGGAAUUGACGGGGGCCCGCACAAGCGGCGGAGCAUGCGGAUUAAUUCGAUGCAACGCGAAGAACCUUACCAAGGCUUGACAUAUAGAGGAAAAGUGUAGAAAUACACUCCCCGCAAGGUCUCUAUACAGGUGGUGCAUGGUUGUCGUCAGCUCGUGUCGUGAGAUGUUGGGUUAAGUCCCGCAACGAGCGCAACCCUCGUCCUAUGUUGCCAGCACGUUAAGGUGGGAACUCAUGGGAUACUGCCGGGGUCAACUCGGAGGAAGGUGGGGAUGACGUCAAAUCAUCAUGCCCCUUAUGUCUUGGGCUUCACGCAUGCUACAAUGGCUGGUACAGAGGGCUGCGAUAUCGCAAGAUGGAGCGAAUCCCAAAAAGCCAGUCUCAGUUCGGAUUGAGGUCUGCAACUCGACCUCAUGAAGUUGGAGUCGCUAGUAAUCGUGAAUCAGCAACGUCACGGUGAGGAGGUUCCCGGGCCU
Molecule: ribosomal RNA, 858 nt
Filed under: uncultured bacterium
Lineage: Bacteria
Description: SSU rRNA
Rfam family: Bacterial small subunit ribosomal RNA
Source: RNAcentral